RNAcentral lists this ribosomal RNA (433 nucleotides) under uncultured bacterium. RNAcentral describes it as "partial 16S ribosomal RNA". It matches the Rfam family "Bacterial small subunit ribosomal RNA", at positions 29 to 507 of the family's 1533-position model. The record is from RNAcentral.
AACGAACGCUGGCGGCAUGCCUAACACAUGCAAGUCGAACGAACCCUUCGGGUCUUUUCUCGCAUGGUUUCGUAACGCGUCGGAAUCUUCCCUUCGGUUGGGAAUAACUGAGAGAAAUUUCAGCUAAUACCUUAUAAUGUCUUCUAACCAAAGAUUUCUCGCCCCGGGUGGUGCCCGCGUAGCAUUAGGUAGUUGGGAGGGUAAUGGCCUACCAAGCGGACGAUGCUUAGAUGGUCUGAGAGGAUGAUUAGCCACACUGAGACUGAGACACGGCACAGAAUCUUACGGAAUGCAGCAGAGCGGAACAGAGCAAAAUCGGGGAAAGGAUGAACGAGUAAUGACGGGUGAAUGAUGAAAGAAUUAAGGAUGUAAAGUGUAAUUAACCGGGAAGAUAAUGACAGUACCGAGAGAAAAAGCCACGGCUAACUACGUG